GGGGUAAUCGGCUAGCUUGGUUUAGGCUUCAAGCUUGGGGUGCUUGCGACCUGGGUUCAAAUCCCAGUUAUCCCA
Molecule: transfer RNA, 75 nt
Filed under: Candidatus Aenigmarchaeota archaeon CG1_02_38_14
Lineage: Archaea; Nanobdellati; Candidatus Aenigmatarchaeota
Also listed under: 4 other names
Description: tRNA-Pro
Rfam family: tRNA
About the family: Transfer RNA (tRNA) molecules are approximately 80 nucleotides in length. Their secondary structure includes four short double-helical elements and three loops (D, anti-codon, and T loops). Further hydrogen bonds mediate the characteristic L-shaped molecular structure. tRNAs have two regions of fundamental functional importance: the anti-codon, which is responsible for specific mRNA codon recognition, and the 3' end, to which the tRNAs corresponding amino acid is attached (by aminoacyl-tRNA synthetases). tRNAs cope with the degeneracy of the genetic code in two manners: having more than one tRNA (with a specific anti-codon) for a particular amino acid; and 'wobble' base-pairing, i.e. permitting non-standard base-pairing at the 3rd anti-codon position.
Source: RNAcentral